UGCCAGUGAUAAACUGGAGGAAGGUGGGGAUGACGUCAAGUCAUCAUGGCCCUUACGACCAGGGCUACACACGUGCUACAAUGGCGCAUACAAAGAGAAGCGACCUCGCGAGAGCAAGCGGACCUCAUAAAGUGCGUCGUAGUCCGGAUUGGAGUCUGCAACUCGACUCCAUGAAGUCGGAAUCGCUAGUAAUCGUGGAUCAGAAUGCCACGGUGAAUACGUUCCCGGGCCUUGUACACACCGCCCGUCACACCAUGGGAGUGGGUUGCAAAAGAAGUAGGUAGCUUAACCUUCGGGAGGGCGCUUACCACUUUGUGAUUCAUGACUGGGGUGAAGUCGUAACAAGGUAACCGUAGGGGAACCUGCGGUUGG
RNAcentral lists this ribosomal RNA (372 nucleotides) under Salmonella enterica. RNAcentral's name for it is "bacterial SSU rRNA". It matches the Rfam family "Bacterial small subunit ribosomal RNA", at positions 1150 to 1521 of the family's 1533-position model. The record is from RNAcentral. Lineage: Bacteria; Pseudomonadati; Pseudomonadota; Gammaproteobacteria; Enterobacterales; Enterobacteriaceae.